CCUUUCGAUCCGUAAGGACCGAAUGGGGAAACCGGCGAACGGGUGCGUAACACGUGAGGAACCUGCCCCGAAGACCGGGAUAGCCCGAGGAAACUCGGAUUAAUACCGGAUACCCUCCUCGGACCACAUGGUCUGUUGAGGAAAUGGUCCGCCGCUUCGGGAUGGCCUCGCGGCCUAUCAGCUUGUUGGUGAGGUAAUGGCUCACCAAGGCAAAGACGGGUAGCUGGUCUGAGAGGACGAUCAGCCACACUGGGACUGAGACACGGCCCAGACUCCUACGGGAGGCAGCAGCAGGGAAUAUUGCACAAUGGGCGAAAGCCUGAUGCAGCGACACCGCGUGCGGGAUGAAGGCCCUCGGGUUGUAAACCGCUUUCAGGAGGGACGAAAAUGACGGUACCUCCAGAAGAAGGCCCGGCCAACUACGUGCCAGCAGCCGCGGUAAUACGUAGGGGCCAAACGUUGUCCGGAUUUAUUGGGCGUAAAGGGCUCGUAGGCGGUUCAACAAGUCGAUCGUGAAAGCCCGGGGCUCAACCCCGGGACGCCGGUCGAAACUGUUGUGACUAGGGUCCGGUAGAGGUGAGUGGAAUUCUCGGUGUAGCGGUGGA
Molecule: ribosomal RNA, 605 nt
Filed under: uncultured bacterium
Lineage: Bacteria
Description: bacterial SSU rRNA
Rfam family: Bacterial small subunit ribosomal RNA
Source: RNAcentral